GCCGGGCGUGGUGGCGCACGCCUGUAGUCCCAGCUACUCGGGAGGCUGAGGCAGGAGAAUCACUUGAACCCAGGAGGAGGAGGUUGCAGUGAGCCGAGAUCGCGCCACUGCACUCCAGCCUGGGCAACAGAGUGAGACUCCAUCUCAA
This 148-nucleotide non-coding RNA is filed under the name Nomascus leucogenys (northern white-cheeked gibbon). Lineage: Eukaryota; Metazoa; Chordata; Mammalia; Primates; Hylobatidae. The record is from Rfam by way of RNAcentral.